GCUGAGGACUUUGAACACAAGCAUUGACAUGUUUUAAAUUCUCUUGCUGAACCUGUUUUUUGGGCAGAGAAGAGACAGAGAGGUGGAGACAAUAUAAAAGAAAGAGAUCAAGUUAAAUCAAGCACCAGCGGAGUCAUGUUCGUGCAUUAAAGAGGAACAGACAAAAUUUGCUGGUCAUGGAUGAUUUUGUUCUUAACAAAUUAAUGGAAUGGGGUCUCGCUGAGCUGAUUGAAAGAUUUAAAGAUGAAGGCAUUGAUGAGGAAAUUCUUUACCUUCUUGAUGAUCCAGAAAUUGAUAGCUUGAUCCCCAGAGUGGGACACAGGGCAAAAUUUAAGAAUAAACUCAAGUUGUUAAAGG
Molecule: long non-coding RNA, 357 nt
Organism: Dicentrarchus labrax (European seabass)
Lineage: Eukaryota; Metazoa; Chordata; Actinopteri; Moronidae
Exons: 3
Source: RefSeq, a predicted model, not a curated record